Molecule: non-coding RNA, 79 nt
Organism: Mesorhizobium sp. LSHC420B00
Lineage: Bacteria; Pseudomonadati; Pseudomonadota; Alphaproteobacteria; Hyphomicrobiales; Phyllobacteriaceae
Source: Rfam
GCCUAAAAUCUGAACAAUAUCAAUCACCGACAGCGGACUGAAAAUCCGCGUGUCGGUGGUUCGAAUCCGCCUCUGGGCA